This 2310-nucleotide ribosomal RNA is filed under the name Triticum aestivum (bread wheat). Its description in RNAcentral is "partial small subunit ribosomal RNA". Lineage: Eukaryota; Viridiplantae; Streptophyta; Magnoliopsida; Poales; Poaceae. The record is from RNAcentral.
AUGGACCGGCUCUCCGAUCUCCCUGACGACUUGCUGAUCCACAUCCUCUCCUUCGGCCCCUCCUGCGAGGCCGCUAGAACCACCGCACUAUCCCGCCGAUGGCGCCGCCCGCUCUGGCUCCACACCGCCGCCGUCAACCUCGACUACCGCUCCUACACCCCCGGCGCCGGCGCGGACGACCGCCCUCUCUGGCGGCGCUCCGUGGACGACGCUGAGCACGCGCUCUCCCUCCAGAGCUCCCUCGGCCGCCGCCCCAAGAAGGUCGCCCUCGUCAUGCGCGAUGGCACCAUGCAUGACGCCGUCCUGCGCGCAGCAUGCGGCCGGGAGGAUGUCGCCGCCGGCUUCGAGGAGCUUCAGAUCGACUGCCUAGAGUAUGGCGUCCCGCCUUACUGCGUCCACGCCGCCCCGCCGCGGUGGACGUACUACAAUCUGUACCUCGUCUCCCUGCCCUUCGCCGGCCUUCGGGUCUUGGAGCUCUCCGGCUGCAUCCUCCACGCGCCUUCCCCGUCGCCUUCCUCCGCAGAGUCAGAGGAGGAUGAGGAGCCCCCGUCGGAGGAGAAGUCCGAGGACGGACAGCGCAUCACGUUCCCUUUCCUGGAGGCGAUGCGGCUGCGGCGGUGCCGCACGGAGUCAGGCACGCUUCAGGACAUGGUCUUGGCCGCGCCGAGGCUCGCUGACCUGCGGCUCGAAGCUGUGAGCUUCUCGGACUACAUGGGUCGGCUCAGCUGCCCGGCGGCCACCGUCAUCACCAUGGCCAACUGCCACAUGUUGAGCACGAACAACGUCAACUUCUACACGUGCACUGUGGUCCUCGACGCGCCGCGCCUUCGCCGCUUCAGCUAUUCGCAGGUCCACACCUUCGAGACCACCUCCUACUGGAACUACUCCUUCAAAUUCAGGUCGCCGCCGCAGGAUCUGGAGCAGGUUCACCUGGCGCUGCACACCGCAUCGGCGGCGGCAGACCUGCGUCACUCCAUGCACAUGGCUGUGCGCCACGUGAGGGUCCUCAUCCUCACGAUGUACUCUCUCGGUGACCUCGACAGGACCGGGUAUGGCUUGCCGCAGUUCGACAACCUGGAGCGGCUGGAGAUUGAAGAGCUCUGCGGGUGCAUCGUCGACCACAGCAAAGCGGCGAGCGCCAUCGAGAACCUGUUGCGCAGCUGCCCGGCUGUGUGCGACCUCCAUCUCAGGUUCCGCUGGCGGGAGUACCUAGCAGAAGCCUCCGACCCGGCUGACCAGAUGGCUGCCAUGGCGGACCUUAUGCCGUGCAGAUCCAUCAACAAUACCGGCUACGAUGAUGAGGAAGAGGAGUGCUGCGAAAAUUUGGAUUUAUAUUACCAACAUUGCGGCCAUGGUUUGGACUGCUUAAAGGGUUCGUUGAAGAGGGUGGUGGUGGAGUUCGACGCGGAGGAACUGACAUGCUUCCAGGUCCGGCUCAUCAGGUUCUUGGCGCGCGAAGCGGCUGGUCUCGAAGAGGUGGUCAUCGACGGUGGGAAGGGGUAUGACUCGAACCGCAUGGACCGGAAGGUGGAAAGAUGGCGGCGGAAAUGGAAACGCUCGCCGCCGCGAGCAGCAAAGCCCGCUCCAUUGUGGCCACCGACACGGUCCGAGUUCCCGCUACCCGUGAAAGCAGCGGCCCCGGCACGUAUGACCCCACCAUGCUCUGACGUAGAACUUGACAAUGGGUUGCAAUUUUAUGACGGCGAGGAUGAUGAGGAUGAGGAUGACGACGAGGAUGAUAUAUCCCCCAAGCAUUUCAUGCGUGGAGGCAGUAAGAAGAAGAAGGGGGGCGGGCUAGAGUGCUUUAGUGUGAAGCUGAAGGCAAAGGGCGGGUUAAUCACGGUGCAAGCAAGGAGAGGAGGAGCCAACCGCCGUCGCCGGAAUGACUGGGGUUGGGUUGAGGAAGAAGAAGGAGGAGACAUUGCAGGAUCGUCGGCGUCUCCACCUCUGGUGCCGCCGAUUUCUCCUCCGCAAAGGCUGCCAGCCAUGUACGAGUUCCCUCCGCUCCCUUGUGCCCCUCCGCCUGCACCACCGAUACUACCGUCACUAUCUGAGUCCCCUCCCCUCGACCAGUCCCCUCCUUUGGCUCCUCCACCAUGUCCCAGUCAGAUCGCUCCUCUUGGGUUGUGUCCCGCCGACAGUAUCUUUGUUUGUCGUCAGUGGCGAUCUGUGCGCCUUGCUGACCUAGAUGUCGCCGCGGACAUGAGCUCGAGGCGCCGCUACUUGUCACGCCGCCGUCGCCCGCUGGCUCCCACCAUGUCCUCCGGUCGCCGGUGCCCAGGGGCCUUUCGCAUCCAUCAGCCCCUCUAG